Long non-coding RNA from Fundulus heteroclitus (mummichog), 1066 nucleotides. RefSeq lists it as uncharacterized. The transcript has 3 exons. Lineage: Eukaryota; Metazoa; Chordata; Actinopteri; Cyprinodontiformes; Fundulidae. The record is from RefSeq and is a predicted model, not a curated record.
UAUAACUUUGGUGCUGAAUUGAGAGAGGGUACAAAUAAUCAAUAAAUUCUGCUGUGUGAUAUGAUUCACUAUUACAGUCUGAAACUAUCGGCCUCCCAGGCGGAAUCUGAAAUGGUUUGCUCCACUUUUCAGGUUCCUUAUGGAUCUUAGGGAGCAGAUAGAACCUCCUUGCCCUGGGUUCAGUGGAGCCACGCAGGUCCUGGGAAAUCAAUUUCUCCACCUCAGGGGGGAGAGAGCCCAUUGGAGGAGACCAGUCUGACUCCGGCAUAAAGGGCUCUUGGGGCCAUCUAAUUUAACCACUCACUCCAGUGCUUCUUGAUACGAGCCGCCGUGGCCUUGGACCAGUGGACAUUAUCACCGGUCACUGUGAAGGCCCUCUUCUCCAGCGCCGGGAUGUGGUGGGGGAGAAGGAGGAGCGUCUGAACGUUAAAGAGUGAGAAGUUUUGUGAUUGACAUCAUGCGGAUUAAACAAAGACAAUAUGAAAUCUCAUCUAUUUGUACUUUAUUUCUGGCAACAUCUACUUGUUGAUCAUGUGACUUUUUUGAUGCAAAAAAAGUUUUUCCAGUUUCAAUAUUGGAAACAAAAACACCUCAUCCUAGCGGCAAAACUUUUUAUUAAAAAGGGAGAAUUUCUUCAAAAUGUCGUCUUUCCAAUGAACAAAUUUAUUUUUUGUAAAAUAUACUUGCUAGAUUUCAAGGUUAAUAGAAACACAGCAACCUUUGCAGUAAUCAGUACAACUAAAAAUAAAUGCAUGGAUGAGUUCCUGGGGAUCUUGUUGGUACAUUAGUCCUUUAUUCGGUUUAUUUUUUUCUUCCACAAUCUACAUAUAAAAUAAAAAUAUGAAAGAUCAUACAUUUUUAUUCUUGAAAGAACUUAAAUAGCUUGAUUUUUGUUACUCUUCAUAUGGACCACACACCAUUACUUGACAUGAAGUCAGGGUGAGGCAGCAGAGUAAGAAAUGAGAAACUGCCAUCUGCAGGUGGGGUUUGCAUCAUUUAAUCCAGGGGUGUCUAGCAUACGGCCCACGGGCCGGUUCCGGCCCGCCGAACAAUUUAGUCCAGCCCG